This 427-nucleotide ribosomal RNA is filed under the name uncultured beta proteobacterium. Its description in RNAcentral is "partial 16S ribosomal RNA". It matches the Rfam family "Bacterial small subunit ribosomal RNA", at positions 355 to 774 of the family's 1533-position model. Lineage: Bacteria; Pseudomonadati; Pseudomonadota; Betaproteobacteria. The record is from RNAcentral.
UGGGGAAUUUUGGACAAUGGGGGCAACCCUGAUCCAGCCAUGCCGCGUGCGGGAAGAAGGCCUUCGGGUUGUAAACCGCUUUUGUUCGGGAAGAAAAGGCUGAGGUUAAUACCCUUGGUCCUUGACGGUACCGGGAGAAUAAGCACCGGCUAACUACGUGCCAGCAGCCGCGGUAAUACGUAGGGUGCGAGCGUUAAUCGGAAUUACUGGGCGUAAAGCGUGCGCAGGCGGUUGGUUAAGUCUGAUGUGAAAGCCCCGGGCUCAACCUGGGAAUGGCAUUGGAAACUGGCUAGCUAGAGUGUGGCAGAGGGGGGUGGAACUCCGCGUGUAGCAGUGAAAUGCGUAGAGAUGCGGAAGAACACCGAUGGCGAAGGCAGCCCCCUGGGCUAGCACUGACGCUCAGGCACGAAAGCGUGGGGAGCAAACA